CCCCAGACUCCUACGGGAGGCAGCAGUGGGGAAUAUUGCACAAUGGGCGAAAGCCUGAUGCAGCAACGCCGCGUGAAGGAAGAAGGCCUUCGGGUCGUAAACUUCUUUCCUUGGGGAAGAAGAACUGACGGUACCCAAGGAGGAAGCCCCGGCUAACUACGUGCCAGCAGCCGCGGUAAUACGUAGGGGGCAAGCGUUAUCCGGAUUUACUGGGUGUAAAGGGAGCGUAGACGGAAUUGCAAGUCUGAUGUGAAAAUCCGGGGCCCAACCCCGGAACUGCAUUGGAAACUGUAUUUCUAGAGUGUCGGAGAGGCAAGUGGAAUUCCUGGUGUAGCGGUGAAAUGCGUAGAUAUCAGGAGGAACACCAGUGGCGAAGGCGGCUUGCUGGACGAUGACUGACGUUGAGGCUCGAAAGCGUGGGGAGCAAACAGGAUUAGAUACCCCAGUAUUC
Molecule: ribosomal RNA, 451 nt
Filed under: uncultured bacterium
Lineage: Bacteria
Description: bacterial SSU rRNA
Rfam family: Bacterial small subunit ribosomal RNA
Source: RNAcentral